Molecule: ribosomal RNA, 466 nt
Filed under: uncultured bacterium
Lineage: Bacteria
Description: partial 16S ribosomal RNA
Rfam family: Bacterial small subunit ribosomal RNA
Source: RNAcentral
GAUGAACGCUGGCGGCGUGCUUAACACAUGCAAGUCGAACGAUGAAGCCCAGCUUGCUGGGUGGAUUAGUGGCGAACGGGUGAGUAACACGUGAGUAACCUGCCCUUAACUCUGGGAUAAGCCUGGGAAACUGGGUCUAAUACCGGAUAGGAGCGUCCACCGCAUGGUGGGUGUUGGAAAGAUUUAUCGGUUUUGGAUGGACUCGCGGCCUAUCAGCUUGUUGGUGAGGUAAUGGCUCACCAAGGCGACGACGGGUAGCCGGCCUGAGAGGGUGACCGGCCACACUGGGACUGAGACACGGCCCAGACUCCUACGGGAGGCAGCAGUGGGGAAUAUUGCACAAUGGGCGCAAGCCUGAUGCAGCGACGCCGCGUGAGGGAUGACGGCCUUCGGGUUGUAAACCACUUUCAGUAGGGAAGAAGCGAAAGUGACGGUACCUGCAGAAGAAGCACCGGCUAACUACGUG